UACGAAGGGGGGCUAGCGUUGUUCGGAAUUACUGGGCGUAAAGGGCGCGUAGGCGGUGUGUCAAGUCAGGCGUGAAAGCCCUGGGCUCAACCCAGGAAGUGCAUUCGAAACUGGCGCGCUUGAAUAUGGAAGAGGGUCGCGGAAUUCCCGGUGUAGAGGUGAAAUUCGUAGAUAGUCGGGAGGAACACCAGUGGCGAAGGCGGCGACCUGGGCCAAUAUUGGACGCUGAG
RNAcentral lists this ribosomal RNA (230 nucleotides) under uncultured bacterium. RNAcentral describes it as "partial 16S ribosomal RNA". It matches the Rfam family "Bacterial small subunit ribosomal RNA", at positions 524 to 750 of the family's 1533-position model. The record is from RNAcentral.